AUGCUCAGGCCGGUGAACCAGUCGCUGUCCUCCUUCACCGUCACCAUGCCGCCUCUCGGCUGCCCCUGCGCCAUGUCCGUGAAGACGCGCUGCUGCAGGCCGGAGGCGCUGUCGAUCUCCGAGGAGUCGUGCGUCUGGAAGCUGUCGGAUAUGGCGUCGGUCGCCAGCGCGUCCAUGACCUCCCCGUUUGGCCCGGCCUCCACAGCCAUGUCCUGCUCCACCUUGACCUUCUCCCAGUUGUUCUUCUUGUUGUACAGCCGGCACAGCACCCAUUCGUCCAGCUGCAAUAGCCGCACAUCACAUAGAGAGAAGGAUCAGUAUUCAGUAUCGAUCGAUGAAUCAGUAUUGUUGGUGAGCAAACUGCGAACUGGAAGACGUUGGGGUUACCUUGAGGGAUCCCUUCUUGCCGGGUGCGCGGUCGGCUUCGGCGAUGCGGUACUCGUGCAUGAUCCAGUCGGUCUUGACGCCCCUGGGCGCCCUGCCGGAGUAGAAGACGAGCGCCUUCUUGAUGCCGACCGUCCUGCCGCCGCUCUCCUUGGGCGCCACGGGCUUGUCGGCGCCGGUGGCCUUCCAGUAGCCGGUGCCGGCGGAGCGGUUGGGGCGCGAGCCGUUGGGGUACUUGCGGUCGCGUGGCGUGAAGAAGUACCACUCCCUGCUCCCGAACAGCGCCCUCUCUGCACGAACGAACCCGCGGCCAAGGUCAGCGCGGCACAGCACACAUUGAACCACCAAGAAGGAGGAAGAAGGAGAAGAGAAAACAGGGGAGGGGAGAGAGAGGAAGAAGAGAAGAAGAAGAGAAGAGAAAGGCGGCUGCAGGUUGUGAUACCGCCUCCUGGGACCUGGAGCCUUCUCUUUUGUUGA
Molecule: ribosomal RNA, 861 nt
Filed under: Triticum aestivum (bread wheat)
Lineage: Eukaryota; Viridiplantae; Streptophyta; Magnoliopsida; Poales; Poaceae
Description: partial small subunit ribosomal RNA
Source: RNAcentral